This 373-nucleotide ribosomal RNA is filed under the name uncultured bacterium. Its description in RNAcentral is "bacterial SSU rRNA". It matches the Rfam family "Bacterial small subunit ribosomal RNA", at positions 525 to 896 of the family's 1533-position model. The record is from RNAcentral.
ACGUAGGGGGCAAGCGUUGUCCGGAUUUAUUGGGCGUAAAGAGCGUGUAGGCGGCCAGGUAGGUCGGUUGUGAAAACUGGAGGCUCAACCUUCAGACGUCGACCGAAACCCCCUGGCUAGAGUCCGGGAGAGGAGAGUGGAAUUCCUGGUGUAGCGGUGGAAUGCGCAGAUAUCAGGAAGAACACCUGUGGCGAAAGCGGCUCUCUGGAACGGUACUGACGCUGAGACGCGAAAGCGUGGGGAGCGAACAGGAUUAGAUACCCUGGUAGUCCACGCCGUAAACGAUGGGCGCUAGGUGUGGGAGGUGUCGACUCCUCCCGUGCCGAAGCUAACGCAUUAAGCGCCCCACCUGGGGAGUACGGCCGCAAGGCUA